AUAUGUUAUCCAUAAUCAAUUCCUUUGCAGUUUGAAAAUUUCAGCGUUUUUCAUAAGACAAUUGAUUAUUAAACACACACAAUCGAUUGUUGGAACAUAGACAAUUGAUUGUUAAAUACACACAAUCGAUUAUUUGUUAUUUUUGAAAAACUCAAGAGCAUACUGUCUUACGACAAUCGAUUGUUAAACAUAGACAAUCGAUUGUGGAUGAUUUUUGAAAAAUUCCAGAUUA
This 232-nucleotide long non-coding RNA is filed under the name Nicotiana benthamiana. Its description in RNAcentral is "long non-coding RNA (NBEN_LNC000911)". The record is from RNAcentral. Lineage: Eukaryota; Viridiplantae; Streptophyta; Magnoliopsida; Solanales; Solanaceae.